AGCGAACGCUGGCGGCAGGCCUAACACAUGCAAGUCGAACGAACCUUUCGGGGUUAGUGGCGGACGGGUGAGUAACACGUGGGAACGUGCCCUUAGGUUCGGAAUAACUCAGGGAAACUUGUGCUAAUACCGAAUGUGCCCUUCGGGGGAAAGAUUUAUCGCCUUUAGAGCGGCCCGCGUCUGAUUAGCUAGUUGGUUGAGGUAAUGGCUCACCAAGGCGACGAUCAGUAGCUGGUCUGAGAGGAUGAUCAGCCACAUUGGGACUGAGACACGGCCCAAACUCCUACGGGAGGCAGCAGUGGGGAAUCUUGCACAAUGGGCGAAAGCCUGACGCAGCCAUGCCGCGUGAAUGAUGAAGGUCUUAGGGUUGUAAAGUUCUUUCACCGGGGACGAUAAUGACGGUACCCGGAGAAGAAGCCCCGGCUAACUUCGUG
RNAcentral lists this ribosomal RNA (434 nucleotides) under uncultured bacterium. RNAcentral describes it as "partial 16S ribosomal RNA". It matches the Rfam family "Bacterial small subunit ribosomal RNA", at positions 29 to 507 of the family's 1533-position model. The record is from RNAcentral.